AAUCACUCAGGGUCACACCUGGGGAGUUUCGAGUACUCUACCAGUCUCGACUAGGGGAGGGAGAACCAAGCAGAGGCCCGUCCAUUCCAAUCCUAGCUUGACCGGUGGCUAGCGAGUGGAAGACAAUCUGCUACAAGU
Small nucleolar RNA from Ornithorhynchus anatinus (platypus), 138 nucleotides. NCBI's taxonomy places the organism in Eukaryota, Metazoa, Chordata, Mammalia, Monotremata, Ornithorhynchidae. The record is from RefSeq and is a predicted model, not a curated record.